GACGAACGCUGGCGGCGUGCUUAACACAUGCAAGUCGAACGGAAAGGCCCUGCUUUUGUGGGGUGCUCGAGUGGCGAACGGGUGAGUAACACGUGAGUAACCUGCCCUUGACUUUGGGAUAACUUCAGGAAACUGGGGCUAAUACCGGAUAGGAGCUCCUGCUGCAUGGUGGGGGUUGGAAAGUUUCGGCGGUUGGGGAUGGACUCGCGGCUUAUCAGCUUGUUGGUGGGGUAGUGGCUUACCAAGGCUUUGACGGGUAGCCGGCCUGAGAGGGUGACCGGCCACAAUGGGACUGAGAUACGGCGCAGACUCCUACGGGAGGCAGCAGUGGGGAAUAUUGCACAAUGGGCGGAAGCCUGAUGCAGCAACGCCGCGUGCGGGAUGACGGCCUUCGGGUUGUAAACCGCUUUCGCCUGUGACGAAGCGUGAGUGACGGUAAUGGGUAAAGAAGCACCGGCUAACUACGUG
RNAcentral lists this ribosomal RNA (468 nucleotides) under uncultured bacterium. Its description in RNAcentral is "partial 16S ribosomal RNA". It matches the Rfam family "Bacterial small subunit ribosomal RNA", at positions 28 to 507 of the family's 1533-position model. The record is from RNAcentral.